Molecule: ribosomal RNA, 186 nt
Filed under: Triticum aestivum (bread wheat)
Lineage: Eukaryota; Viridiplantae; Streptophyta; Magnoliopsida; Poales; Poaceae
Description: partial small subunit ribosomal RNA
Source: RNAcentral
GCCUUGCGGAAAGGUCUCGCCUCCCUCGCCCUUCUCACUGCGUGGUCCAUCUGGCGCCACCGGAAUGCAUGCAUCUUCGACCACAUGCACCCCUCCUCUACGCUACUUCUACAGAUCAUCAAGGACGACGCUCGGGCAUGGGCUUCUGCCGGGGCCAAGGACAUUGCAAACUUUAUGCCUCCCUGA